RNAcentral lists this long non-coding RNA (536 nucleotides) under Malus domestica (apple). RNAcentral's name for it is "long non-coding RNA (MDOM_LNC000312)". Lineage: Eukaryota; Viridiplantae; Streptophyta; Magnoliopsida; Rosales; Rosaceae. The record is from RNAcentral.
GGAGCAAAACAAUUUGUCCUUUAGCGUUUUUGGACCUAAACGUAAAAACAUAAACUUUUGGGCCAAAGUGCAAAUACACAAAACAAAAGUAUCAAAAACUUUAUGUAAUUGCAUAAAAGACCCAAAAGUACUCCCAUUGAGGGAGGGCCGGUUUUUAGAGAGGGAAAGGGAGUGGAGAUAAGUCCACAAAAAUUUGGAAAUUUUUUCAACAAUUUCAUAAAGCCUUGCAAGUGGAAUUUGGUUGUUGUGAAUCAUAAAACAUGCAUGUGGUGUGUAAGGUGUGUAAGUCUUACACACCCAUCACAAUUUCUAUCACCUUUCAAAAAAAAAUGUUUUGGUGAUAGAAAAUUCACAUCAACCAACACAAAACAAAGACUUUAUGAAAUUAACCAAAACUUUGAAUCAAAACACAAACCUUUUUGUUCUUGGCAAAAAUGUCAAGAACAAUGAAGAACACUCAUAAAAAAACUCAAAAUUUUCCAUGAACAUUUUUCACCCAAAAACAUUCCAAAACCAUUCAAACUUUAGGGAAAUAA